This 655-nucleotide long non-coding RNA is filed under the name Marmota monax (woodchuck). Lineage: Eukaryota; Metazoa; Chordata; Mammalia; Rodentia; Sciuridae. The record is from RNAcentral.
CAGUUUUAUUUUACAUCCUAAAUUUUUGCACUUAGGAAGACAAUGUGUAAAUUGUGGUCCCAAGUCAAUGUACAUCCUCAGGUAAAUGACUUGCCAACUCAGAAAUGCCAAAAGUUUUUAUUUUUAUUACAUGGUGAAGAAAUUGAAGUGAACUAUUAAACAGGGAGACCCUUUAGCCUACAAAUAUCCAGUUUAAACUUCCUUCACUCUUGUCUUAAUUAUGAUACACUAAAGUUGACCUUGGACUGUCCUCUCUCUCUUCCCUGAUUUCACUUUUCCUUUUUUCUAGGUUCAUUCCUUAGAGUUCUUUUGGAGUGUACCCUGUAGUAACUUCCACAAGGGCCCCUUUCUAUGUCUAUAGCGGUCUACAUUUUCUUUAGAUUUCUCAUAUGCUUGAUUAAUAAUUUCACUUCACAUGAACCUCUUGGUGUGAAUUUCCCUUGGAAUAUUGAAGAUAUUGCUCCAUUGGGUUCAAGAUUCUGUUUUUAUAGUUCACUUGACUUUUCUAGUUAAUUUUCCAAAUUUAUGACUCUCCCAUACCUGAUGAUACUGGGGUAUCUACAAUUUCCCUAAAUUUUUCCCAGACAGAUGUCUUCUUGGUAGGAAUUCUAUACAGGACUUAAUAAGGGGCAAAUCAUUAUGGUAAGAGAGCAGA